AGACCGUGGUGAGGACACUUUCGCAAUAACUCCUUGAACCUUUUCCCAAGUUUCAUAUAAGGAUUCCCCAUCCUCUUGUGAAUAUGUAUUAAUUUCAGUCAUUAAUUU
This is a non-coding RNA of Helianthus annuus (common sunflower), 108 nucleotides long. Lineage: Eukaryota; Viridiplantae; Streptophyta; Magnoliopsida; Asterales; Asteraceae. The record is from Rfam.